Molecule: transfer RNA, 85 nt
Filed under: Austrotaxus spicata
Lineage: Eukaryota; Viridiplantae; Streptophyta; Pinopsida; Cupressales; Taxaceae
Description: tRNA-Leu
Rfam family: tRNA
About the family: Transfer RNA (tRNA) molecules are approximately 80 nucleotides in length. Their secondary structure includes four short double-helical elements and three loops (D, anti-codon, and T loops). Further hydrogen bonds mediate the characteristic L-shaped molecular structure. tRNAs have two regions of fundamental functional importance: the anti-codon, which is responsible for specific mRNA codon recognition, and the 3' end, to which the tRNAs corresponding amino acid is attached (by aminoacyl-tRNA synthetases). tRNAs cope with the degeneracy of the genetic code in two manners: having more than one tRNA (with a specific anti-codon) for a particular amino acid; and 'wobble' base-pairing, i.e. permitting non-standard base-pairing at the 3rd anti-codon position.
Source: RNAcentral
GGGGAUAUGGCGGAAUUGGUAGACGCUACGGACUUAAAAUCCGUUGGUUUUCUAGACUGUGAGGGUUCAAGUCCCUCUAUCCCCA